GAUGAACGCUGGCGGCGUGCCUAAUACAUGCAAGUCGAGCGAACAGACGAGGAGCUUUCUCCUCUGACGUUAGCGGCGGACGGGUGAGUAACACGUGGAUAACCUACCUAUAAGACUGGGAUAACUUCGGGAAACCGGAGCUAAUACCGGAUAAUAUAUUGAACCGCAUGGUUCAAUAGGUGAAGACGGGUUUGCUGUCACUUAUAGAUGGAUCCGCGCCGCAUUAGCUAGUUGGUAAGGUAACGGCUUACCAAGGCAACGAUGCGUAGCCGACCUGAGAGGGUGAUCGGCCACACUGGAACUGAGACACGGUCCAGACUCCUACGGGAGGCAGCAGUAGGGAAUCUUCCGCAAUGGGCGAAAGCCUGACGGAGCAACGCCGCGUGAGUGAUGAAGGUCUUCGGAUCGUAAAACUCUGUUAUUAGGGAAGAACAAAUGUGUAAGUAACUAUGCACGUCUUGACGGUACCUAAUCAGAAAGCCACGGCUAACUACGUG
This 497-nucleotide ribosomal RNA is filed under the name uncultured bacterium. RNAcentral describes it as "partial 16S ribosomal RNA". It matches the Rfam family "Bacterial small subunit ribosomal RNA", at positions 28 to 507 of the family's 1533-position model. The record is from RNAcentral.